GGUUACAUGUUGUGUGAAUUUUGUCUUAUUAAAGUAUUACCUAGGGACUGGAACCACAGCUCAGUGGUUAGGGACACUUGUUGCUCUUGCAGAGGACCUGGAUUUGGUUCCCAGCACCCACAUGGUGGACCAUGAUCACCCACGCUCCAAUUGCAGGGGACUCAGUGCCGCCUUCUGGCCUCUGAGAGCACCAGACAUUUAUGUAGUACACAUUAAAUAAAUCUUCAAAAAGAAAACACAAACCAAAACAACAACACCAAAAACAAGCAAACAAAAAAUGAACCCACCAAAAACUCACAAAUUAUUGUCUACAAAUCCUGUCCUACAAAUAACAAAGUGAAACUUUUUGUUGUGGGAAUACUCAAAUUACACAAAUGUUAAGAAUAAUUGUGGGGGGUUUUGUUUGUUGUUUGUUUUUAACAAACAGUCGUUGGCCAGCUCCUCCAAAUAUGAACAUUUUAGAAAUCUUUUCAGGAUUUUUUUCUCCUUAAUUUUAUUACCAGAAUUCUGAACAUCAGAAAAUUUGGAAGAUUAUACAAUGAAUGUCAAGUAUUCCUGCCUGUAUUUUCCCACUAACACGUUAUUCUGCCUGCCCUCAUCUGUAUCGGUCUGUUCUCUUGUCUAUCAUCAACUCAUCUUUUGAAAUUUAUUUCAAUGUGAAAUCUAUAUACAUCCUUUAUGUGAUACACAUGUAAAAGCCUGUGUCAUUCACAUUGAAAAUAUUUGGGGAGCAGUACAUGCCGGAGCUACCUGGCUAUGUGAUGGUCGAAGGUCAACCUUCAGGAGCCAGUUCAUUUCCAUCGUGUGGUUUGGGGGAUCAGGCUCACAUCCUCAAGCUCGGCAGCAGGGCCUUUGCCUGCAGAGCAUCUCUUGCUGGCUCUGCUAGAAAUGUUUUUAAUUGCUUGGAGACCAUAAAAUAAACUCUUCUCGUAGAGUUUUGAAUGUCA
Molecule: long non-coding RNA, 947 nt
Organism: Peromyscus californicus insignis
Lineage: Eukaryota; Metazoa; Chordata; Mammalia; Rodentia; Cricetidae
Exons: 2
Source: RefSeq, a predicted model, not a curated record